GCGGAGGAAAAGAAACCAACAGGGAUUGCCCUAGUAACGGCGAGUGAAGCGGCAACAGCUCAAAUUUGAAAUCUGGCCUCGGCCCGAGUUGUAAUUUGCAGARGAUGCUUCUGGCGCGGUGCCUUCCGAGUUCCCUGGAACGGGACGCCACAGAGGGUGAGAGCCCCGUAUGGUCGGACACCAAGCCUGUGUGAAGCUCCUUCGACGAGUCGAGUAGUUUGGGAAUGCUGCUCUAAAUGGGAGGUAAAUCUCUUCUAAAGCUAAAUACCGGCCAGAGACCGAUAGCGCACAAGUAGAGUGAUCGAAAGAUGAAAAGCACCUUGAAAAGGGGGUUAAAUAGUACGUGAAAUUGUUGAAAGGGAAGCACUUAUGACCAGACUUGGGCCGGGCGGCUCAUCAGGGGUUCUCCCCUGUGCACUCCGCCCGGCACAGGCCAGCAUCGGUUUUCGCGGGGGGAUAAGACCGGCGGGAACGUAGCACCCUCCGGGGUGUGUUAUAGCCCACCGGACGAUACCCUCGCGGGGACCGAGGUC
Molecule: ribosomal RNA, 533 nt
Filed under: Sordariomycetes sp. f69
Lineage: Eukaryota; Fungi; Ascomycota; Sordariomycetes
Description: eukaryotic LSU rRNA
Rfam family: Eukaryotic large subunit ribosomal RNA
Source: RNAcentral